UACGUAGGGACCGAGCGUUGUCCGGAAUCAUUGGGCGUAAAGAGCGUGUAGGCGGCCACUUAAGUCCUGCGUGAAAUCUUGCGGCUCAACCGCAAGCGGUCGUGGGAAACUGGGUGGCUAGAGUGCGGGAGAGGAGAGUGGAAUUCCUGGUGUAGCGGUGGAAUGCGCAGAUAUCAGGAGGAACACCGGUGGCGAAGGCGGGUCUCUGGGCCAUUACUGACGCUGAGGAGCGAAAGCGUGGGGAGCGAACAGG
RNAcentral lists this ribosomal RNA (253 nucleotides) under uncultured bacterium. RNAcentral's name for it is "partial 16S ribosomal RNA". It matches the Rfam family "Bacterial small subunit ribosomal RNA", at positions 524 to 776 of the family's 1533-position model. The record is from RNAcentral.